RNAcentral lists this ribosomal RNA (464 nucleotides) under uncultured bacterium. RNAcentral describes it as "partial 16S ribosomal RNA". It matches the Rfam family "Bacterial small subunit ribosomal RNA", at positions 339 to 795 of the family's 1533-position model. The record is from RNAcentral.
CUACGGGUUGCUCCAGUGAGGAAUAUUGCGCAAUGGGGGAAACCCUGACGCAGCGACGCCGCGUGAAGGAUGAAGGUCUUCGGAUUGUAAACUUCUGUUAAGUGGGAAGAAAUCCUUGUAAAUAAUACGUACAAGGGAUGACGGUACCAUUAGAGAAAGCACCGGCUAACUUCGUGCCAGCAGCCGCGGUAAUACGAGGGGUGCAAACGUUAUUCGGAAUUACUGGGCGUAAAGGGUGUGUAGGCGGCUUAUCAAGUCCAUAGUUAAAUCUUUCGGCUCAACCGAAAGGCUGCUGUGGAAACUGAUUUGCUAGAGAAUGGAAGAGAGAAGUGGAAUUCUCGGAGUAGCGGUAAAAUGCGUGGAUCUCGAGAGGAACACCGAUGGCGAAGGCAGCUUCUUGGUCCAUUUCUGACGCUGAGACACGAAAGCGUGGGGAGCAAACAGGAUUAGAUACCCCUGUAGUC